AUCGGUCAUUUCAUUUCUGGCUCCGCUCCUCUUCCCAUGGCGGCGGCAUCUAAUCCCCCUAACCUGCUUGCCAUUUCUGUAGGACCACACUGUUCAUUCCUCUUCCUAAAAUAGCUCCCUUUCACUGCAAACCAAAGUAGAGAAGAAAGUGAAUCUAUUUUAGGAAGAGAAUGAACACUGUGUUAUCCCCCUCGGAGAUUCCUGCUUGUUAUUAACUCAUUUCAUCUUUACCAGGAUUUGUGCUUGGUACUCAGAUUGGGUUUGAAAGCAGAAAAAUGUGCUUUUUCAUUUUCCAAUAUAAAGAUUGCUUAUUUCCCCCAAUUGCUCUUCUGUUAUUUUUGUUUGCAGGCGAUGAAGCGACUGAUUCCUAUUAGAUCUGCUGGGUAUUCUCGAUUCCCUUGUUUAUUGUAUUGGGUUAUUUCAUUUUUGUCUUGCUAGGUUGAAAAGCAUGUUAAUUUUCCCAGGAAAUGGUUCUGUUUUCUGGUAAUAGGAUUGGUGAAGAGACAUAGAUCCAGUUGAGAUUGUAUAUAUGAAGAUGCCUUUGGCAAUAUGGUUUGCUGGUGAAAACGAAUUGUCUGUGGGGAAUGUUUGAAUGUAAUAUAGUUAAAUAAUUGCAUCCAAGCUUAUAUGUUUGAAUGUAAUAUAGUUAAACUUUAGCUGCCAAUAGCUGGUAACCAUUCUCUAUUUGCUGUCAUGCCAGUUUGUUUUUUGUCUUGGAGUUGCACAAAGCUGAAAGAUGCUGUUCAUUUCACAAUUGUAUUUGUUGCUCCAUCCUUUGUGUUUUUGUCUACUUUGCUACACAGGAAACAAUGGUUGGAUUCAUGAAAUCAGCUUUCUCUAUAUCUAAAUUUGUUUACUUCCAUGUAGUGACUUGGCAGGCUCAUGAUUCCUUAGUCCUUAACAUGCACAACUCUUGUAUGUACAAUAGCUUGAAUGAUAAGAAGCUCUGUAAUCUGUAUCCGCUUAAGCAAAAGUCCAUUUAAGCAACAUGUUACAACGUACAAUAGCUAUUUUAGAUGAAGUCUCUCCGCAUAACACAGCUGGACUAUUUGAUUUGAUAGAUAGUGGGAAAGAAAGAACAGGAUUGUGUAUGUGUAUUCUUGGUUUCAUGCACUUACUUGGCUUCUAUUUGUUUGUCAACAGCAUGUUUCGUCUGGCCGUUGCUGUUAUCAUCUACGCCAGUAGUCGAUGACUGAUGUUUCUUCGCCCUUAUAUCCUUGAUGACUUUAUGCACAGCGCCUAGUAAUUUUUUCAUCUUGGGUUUCCUGUGGUGGAGAUCUUCUGCUGUAUUUGUACUUUCUGCUCUGCUUUGAAUGACUGGAGAUGGUGGUUCAUCAUCACCAUUUUCACCGCAGUACUUCUCAAGUUUGGCAUACUUCAUUGGACGAUUCAUAUGCUGCUUUCACCAAACACUUUUGAGUAGUACAGAGAAACCUGGAACUGUCCUUAACAUUUUUAUAGGUUAUUUUAACUGAGGAUAAGACGUUGCUUAGGACAAUAUAAUUAGUUAUAAUAGUAUUCUAGCCUAGUGGUAGGACAUCGUAGAAGCGAAGUUUAAGAGAUGCCAAUCAUUGAGUAUAUACUUAGAAGACCUCGGGCUUCUAUUUUGGCGUCAUACAGAUAACUGUAGUAUAUGGAUUCAACCAAAUUUUUACAUAUAUGACUCUUCCAGUGGAUACAAACUGAUCUAAAUCUCAUUUUUAGCAAAUUUCUUUCUGUUGCUUACA
RNAcentral lists this long non-coding RNA (1727 nucleotides) under Linum usitatissimum (flax). Its description in RNAcentral is "long non-coding RNA (LUSI_LNC004947)". The record is from RNAcentral. Lineage: Eukaryota; Viridiplantae; Streptophyta; Magnoliopsida; Malpighiales; Linaceae.